RNAcentral lists this long non-coding RNA (220 nucleotides) under Elaeis guineensis (African oil palm). RNAcentral's name for it is "long non-coding RNA (EGUI_LNC005837)". The record is from RNAcentral. Lineage: Eukaryota; Viridiplantae; Streptophyta; Magnoliopsida; Arecales; Arecaceae.
GUGGCAAAGUGGUACUCAUACUUAUUUGUUUCCUACUUCAUUGGGUUAUCAGCACAAGAGUCAAUUACACCAUCAUCCUGGAGUGUGCUUAUAUGUUUCAACUUCAUCAGGAUCAAUGCAUCAUUAACUGGAUUUUCUAAAAGACAUUCAAGAUUUUUGUGCAUCCUUUUAUUUUUUUAAGUUUUACUGACAAAAGCUCUUGGCACCUUCCAACCAUGGC